Molecule: long non-coding RNA, 4076 nt
Organism: Oncorhynchus tshawytscha (Chinook salmon)
Lineage: Eukaryota; Metazoa; Chordata; Actinopteri; Salmoniformes; Salmonidae
Source: Ensembl
UUGCAUCUUUGUUUGUUUUUGCACUUACCUGGUGCACCAGCUCUAAAUCAGUCCCUGACUAAAGAAUGAAAAUGUAAAGUGGAACUUAGGGGAUUUGAGUAUCUCUUGACCUACACUACAGUGGGGUAGGGAUAAAAGAAAGUCACCAAGGUCCCAUCGUGUGUGUUCGUUUCGAAGUGUGUAAGCCCCUAUCGUUGUCUUAAUGUUCGUUUCGAAGUGUGUAAGCCCCUAUCGUUGUCUUAAUGUUCGUUUCGAAGUGUGUAAAGCCCUAUCGUUGUCUUAAUGUUUGUUCGAAGGUGUGCCCCUAUCGUUGUCUUAGUUCGUUUCGAAGUGUGUAAGCCCUAUCGUUGUCUUAAUGUUCGUUUCGAAGUGUGUAGCCCCUAUCGUUGUCUUAAUGUUCGUUUCGAAGUGUGUAAGCCCUAUCGUUGUCUUAUGUUCGUUUCGAAGUGUGUAAGCCCCUAUCGUUGUCUUAAUGUUCGUUUCGAAGUGUGUAAGCCCCUAUCGUUGUCUUAAUGUUCGUUUCGAAGUGUGUAAGCCCCUAUCGUUGUCUUAAUGUAUCUUAACUUAUUGUGAAUUCAUUUUUUUUUGUGUUGGACCUAAAUGUUGAAUCUUAUUUCCGUGUUCCAACUGCAUUAUGGGGGCUUCUAGUGCAAUAAUAACAAGAUGGGGAGGAAGAGUAGAACAAGACAUGGAUUUCUAUUGCCAUUAAAAUAUACAAUUUGUUUGGUUGCACCAAUGGAGUUAACGAAUCAGAGAAAUGGAAUCCCUAGAACCGGGAUCUACAUUUUGUUCUAGGGAUUAUAUUUCUAGGAUAACAGCAGAAGUUAUAAUGCAAGAAAGAAGUACAUAAAUAAUAUAUAGCAUUCAUGACUAAUAGGGCAACAUAUAGGCUUCAUAUCAAAAGAGGGACACCGUCAAGUGUAGGUUAUUUUAUAUUAAACUGUCCACUCUGAUCGGUGUGUUAGGCUUUAAUAUUGUCACGGGGGUUCUUUCCCUGACCAAUGUUGAUAUUAUCUGCUGUUUACACAGUAAAUUAACAGGUAAAAUCUCAAUGUCUUGGACCUAUUAUCAGAGCUAAUCCUCUCUCGCUCUCUCUGUGUGUGUAAGCUACAUAUUUCACCAGUUUAGAAGAAUAGGGUAAGAACCCUUUUGAAGAGCUGCCAUGUUGUGAAUAUUUCAUAUAUAUAUAUAUAUAUAUAUAUUACAGCUUUUUUUCUAUCAUUCUUCAGCCUUUAAUAUUUAGUGUUUAUGCCUGCACUCGAAUGACUUAAGCCCAAAUGUCUUAAACAUGUCUAUACGCUCUAGCGUAUUUAACAUGUCUAUCGCUGAAGAGUCUUUAACAUUUCUAUAAGCUUGAUAAGAGCCAUGUUGUGUGAAGUGUUUCUCUUGGGGUUGGUAUCACGGACACCGAUUUUUAGGAUAGUCCUGGACUGAAAAACGAUUUGAAUGGAGAUUCUUGGCUUAAUCUGUGUCCGGGAAACUGACCGUUACCGAAGAACCACGUGGUUUGAGUCUAACUGUAUAUCUUCUAAGUGCUUAUCUUAAUAACCAGCGUUGAUGUCUUCGUAAACUAUGACACGCUGGCCAUAAUAUGACCCACCUGUUUAUCUGUAUGUAUGAAGAUGAUGCAUCCUAGCCAUGCUUCUCUGAUGUACAGAUAUGUCCUUAUUUGGUAAAACUUCCUAUUGAUACCUUCUUCACAGUGCAUUAUAAGUGCAUUUAUAGUGCCUUAUGAGCUAUAUAUAAUGCACGACAUAGACAUACUGGAAGUGUUACGCCUUUAUUUAUUACAAAUGUCAUAUUUUUUUCAAUCUGCUCUAUUUUGUGCAAGAUGUUUCUAAUAUAAUGUCUCUGUGGCAGCUCCAAAUAAAGACACCUAAAGGGUUCUUUGGUUAUUUUUGUAUAAUCCUUUUUUGGUUCCAGGUAGAACCUUUUUUUUUUGGUUCCAGAACCUUUAACCAAAAGGUUCUUUUGAGGGUUCUUUGUUGGGUGAAAUAGUUCUGCCUGGAAGCAAAACAGUUCUACAGGGACAGCAAAAGAAACCUUUUAGGAACACUUUUGAUGGAGUAUGUGUGUCUUAAUGACAGUGCUAGUACUACUGACAGGCAUUGGUAAUAUACAGAUGAUGUAGCCUCGCUGAAAUGACAGGCUUUACGGCUGGCUAACUGACGCUUGGUUUAAACAAAGCAUCUUUUCCCGCCAGCGGUCUUCCACAAUGAUUCUUCUCUAAUAUGGCAUUCCAGAAUUGGCUGAUUUGUGUUUUAAUUUUAGUUUGUUUUGUUUAAAUGUUAUGUUUGACUUUCCAUGGCUCAAUUUAUGGGUCAGUUCAAGUAUAAUAUUGUCUUUAGUCACAUAUCCAGUUUGUAGUGUGUGUGAGUGUACAUAAGUUUUAUUUGUAUUGGAAGUAGAAAUAUGUGGAAGAGAGCUGCGGUUAGCACUGUGAUCAUUCCACUACUACAAACUCCUUAUUAAACUAUGGCUGAGAUUUAAAGUGUCUAUAAUUUGUCCAGACGUAAUAUUUUAAACGUGCUACUUUUCUGUUGUGUUUAGUUAAAUCUGGGUGGGCCCAUGUAGUCUGUCUUCAUUCCAAAUGGCACCAUAUUCCCUAUAGUGCACUACUCUUGACCAGAGUCCUUGUCAAAAUGGUGCACUAUAUAGGGAAUAGGGUGCUAUUUGGGAUCACCCUCUGUAUCCUGUUCCCAUCUCCUUUCUAUUGAGGCAUGAUGUGAUUGCUGACAUCCAGUAACAUGACCAUUUACCUCAGGAAGGCUGUUUAGAUUUCAAUAAUACUAUAAACAUAUGUGAUUAAUCAUUAUCUAACUCAAAGUAAAUGUUUUUUAAAUUAAAAGAUUUAAAAGCCCUUUGAUGUAACAUUACAUCGUUUAACUUGCAAUGGAAAGAGAGCUGUGAUCUGACCUACUCUGUAAAUGCAUAUACACCUGUAUGUUAUCAGUAGUCUUUUACUCUUGGCAAGUUCAAUGGUUUGUGUUGACUGCUGUUGGAAACAGUGCUGAGAUUAAAUCCAUUUUUGUUUGUUUCAAGCUCUUGGUUAGAUUUGUCUUCUACGAAGGUCUAUAUGCGUACAAUGUGUAACAUAAUCUAUCGGGAAGACUUUACACAAUGAAUAGCAUUAAAUGACUUCCAACUUUCUAUCUUAAAGAAAUCAUAUGAUUUAUCCUGUUUAUAUAAAAGUACACACGCAGCAAAGAGCGGUAGGGAGAGAGUGGACACACAAGCCGACCUCUGAAAUAUAUUCAUAUAGUUAAAUAGGGGAAUAACGGGCCAAUAUCGGCAUGUAAAACUGUAUCGGUUACUGGAGAAUGACGCCUCUUGCCGUGAAGUUUGCAUUGACGCACCAUAUUUUUACAUGAAGAGUAGUGUGAAAGUAGACCUUUGAUCAGCGCCUUUGCUCAGGGGGAAUGUUUUCUUGACGUGUGACACCUAAUGUGCCUAAUGAAGGUGUUGGCUCCCUGGUAAUCCAUUUAAUCCAGUCUACAAAGUCACUUAUCUCCUCUUCCAUUAUGCGCGUGCCAAUUAUCAGUCGUUUCUGUGUCCCGGUCACAUCUCCAAAGGGCUCUCUCCCUCUAUUUGGAUAACUAGAUCCGCGAGACACCCCCUCUUAAGCAUCACUCCUCUCUUCAACAGUGUAGAAGGUGUGAAGACGUGCGUAUCCGAACCAGUGCGACUCAGACACUGAUUGAUUUGGACAAACCUGCGUUGUAGAUAAUCGACUGACUUCAAUUGGAUAAUGGAUUAACGCGUCAGAGAACGCAAACAGGCUAUUCUCAACUCCAGAUGUCAAUGUAUUGGAAGAAAACACUCACCCAUCCAUAAGGAAGUGUACCCAACUAUUUUAACCUAGUUGAAUAAACCGUUCACCGGUGCGCACUGAGAGAGUGCGUGGUUGUGUGUGUCUUUUGUACUUAUAGCCCAAGUUGGUCUGGUUAAAUGGGGAGGCUUGAAGAACCUAGACAUUGACCUAGACGCAACAUAUAGGCAGGCAGACAGACAGUGAAAGGAGAAAUCAGUCGCUUUGAGAGUCUGAGUGGUCAGAGUUGCGUCGAAGUGCGGCAGAG